AAGUAAAAGUCGUAACAAGGUUUCCGUAGGUGAACCUGCGGAAGGAUCAUUACCUAGAGUUGUAGGCUUUGCCUGCUAUCUCUUACCCAUGUCUUUUGAGUACCUUACGUUUCCUCGGUGGGUUCGCCCACCGAUUGGACAAAUUUAAACCCUUUGCAGUUGAAAUCAGCGUCUGAAAAAACUUAAUAGUUACAACUUUCAACAACGGAUCUCUUGGUUCUGGCAUCGAUGAAGAACGCAGCGAAAUGCGAUAAGUAGUGUGAAUUGCAGAAUUCAGUGAAUCAUCGAAUCUUUGAACGCACAUUGCGCCCCUUGGUAUUCCAUGGGGCAUGCCUGUUCGAGCGUCAUUUGUACCUUCAAGCUCUGCUUGGUGUUGGGUGUUUGUCUCCUGUAGACUCGCCUUAAAACAAUUGGCAGCCGGCGUAUUGAUUUCGGAGCGCAGUACAUCUCGCGCUUUGCACUCAUAACGACGACAUCCAAAAGUACAUUUUUACACUCUUGACCUCGGAUCAGGUAGGGAUACCCGCUGAACUUAAGCAU
This 540-nucleotide ribosomal RNA is filed under the name Ampelomyces sp. C105. RNAcentral's name for it is "eukaryotic LSU rRNA". The stretch from base 194 to 347 matches the Rfam family "5.8S ribosomal RNA". Lineage: Eukaryota; Fungi; Ascomycota; Dothideomycetes; Pleosporales; Phaeosphaeriaceae. The record is from RNAcentral. RNAcentral also lists the same sequence under 1 other name.